This 619-nucleotide long non-coding RNA is filed under the name Ficedula albicollis (Collared flycatcher). RNAcentral's name for it is "lncRNA (ENSFALG00000025978.1)". Lineage: Eukaryota; Metazoa; Chordata; Aves; Passeriformes; Muscicapidae. The record is from RNAcentral.
CCUGUCGCCGCGGUGCCACCCGAGGGCUGCAGAGCCAGCAGCUUCGCAGAGAGAAACCGUAGGACUCCACUGCUCAGCUUUUGGUGUAAUUCCUGUCUCCUUUACACCACCCUCACGGGGCUCACACCCAGCAGAUCCGGCUGUUCGAGUUCUCGGAGAAAGCUGCAGCUCAGGAGUUCAUCUCUGAUCACAUAAACUGUUUCGAAGGUGAAGGGAGCCAUGGAGUGAUCCUAUUUUUAUUCAGUUUACUUUUCUCUAGGACACUUGAAAGGGUCCGGGAGGAUUUGGGCUGCACAGCUGCUCUGCUGAGCGCCAGCUCUGGAAACGUCACCUGCACAGAGGUAUGUCAGCCACGUCUCAAGCGCUCUGCUUUUGCUAUUCCCACAUCCAGUUUAGGAAAAAAAUUAUCACCUGCUAAUUACCCAAAGAAAAAAUAAGCAUAAGCUCAUUUAGAAAAUAUUUUGCGAUUUUAAUCAUGACUGUGCACUUAAAAAACAGAUGAUGAUGAUGAUGAUGAUGAUAGUAAUGAUAAUUUUUUAAAAGCUGCUGGAUGAUGAUGACGAUGAUGACGAUGAUGAUGAUGAUAUGAUGAUGAUGACAAUGACAAUGAUGAUGAUAG